Bison bison bison is the source of this 88-nucleotide small nucleolar RNA. Its record names the gene SNORA70. It matches the Rfam family "Small nucleolar RNA SNORA70". From Rfam's summary of the family: snoRNA U70 seems to be exclusive to mammals and is a member of the H/ACA class of snoRNA which contain H (ANANNA) and ACA box motifs. The record is from Ensembl. NCBI's taxonomy places the organism in Eukaryota, Metazoa, Chordata, Mammalia, Artiodactyla, Bovidae.
CUGUGUCAAUGGCUGCAAACAGCAGCCUCCUGGGCAGCUGGAGGCACCUGUUGCUUGUCUGGGCUGCCCGAUGGGACCUGAGACAGUC